CCCUUAGAUGUUCUGGGCAGCACGCGCGCUACAAUUGUCUUCGCAAACGGAUGCAUUCUCGAAGGAGAAUGCCAAUCUUGGAAUCUAUGCCUUGGUCGGGACAGUUGCUUGCAAUUUUUCGACUCGAACCAGGAAUUCCUUGUAAUCGUGAUUCAUCACAUCACGAUGAAUACGUCCCUGCCCUUUGUACACACCGCCCGUCGCUCCUACCGAUCGAAGAGUUAGGUGAAUUGUUUUGAUCGAUAAGAUUUGACUAUGGUCAACUCUCGUUGUGAAAUUCUGUGAAUCUGACUGUUUAGAGGAAGGAAAAGUCGUAACA
This 319-nucleotide ribosomal RNA is filed under the name uncultured eukaryote. RNAcentral describes it as "partial 18S ribosomal RNA". It matches the Rfam family "Eukaryotic small subunit ribosomal RNA", at positions 1470 to 1796 of the family's 1831-position model. The record is from RNAcentral.